This 252-nucleotide long non-coding RNA is filed under the name Theobroma cacao (cacao). RNAcentral's name for it is "long non-coding RNA (TCAC_LNC001400)". Lineage: Eukaryota; Viridiplantae; Streptophyta; Magnoliopsida; Malvales; Malvaceae. The record is from RNAcentral.
CCACCAGUUGAAAUUAAAUCUGCUCAAACAGAUCUAGAUCUAACAACAACAAAUAAGGAAAAAAUAAAGAGAGAAAGAGUAAGAACCAGGGGGAGAGAGAGAACAAGAAGAAAAAAAACCUUAAGCUCUACAAUUGUAAGAUCGGAACCAGUGAAGAGUUUAGAGAGUUACUAGAAGAAAGAAGAACAAAGUAGAGAACUUUGGUCUUUUUAGUAGCGAAAUGAAGUUUCAGCUGUGGCAGCAAGGGGCAAG